Long non-coding RNA from Engraulis encrasicolus (European anchovy), 509 nucleotides. RefSeq lists it as uncharacterized. The transcript is spliced from 3 exons. NCBI's taxonomy places the organism in Eukaryota, Metazoa, Chordata, Actinopteri, Clupeiformes, Engraulidae. The record is from RefSeq and is a predicted model, not a curated record.
GCAGACAAGCACGCUUGGCCUAUGCUUUGGCGUCUUCCGACUUCUUGGCUGCAGCUGUUGUCGUCCCUCUUGCUCGACUCUCUUUCACUUGGGCACUCACUUUGUCCGAACUCCGGUUGCCUACGGUGCUCAACCUUUACCUGUUUCUACUGGUGGCUUCCUGGUAGGCUGCCACAGUUCUACUUGCGUUAUUCACUCCGACUGCCCACGGCACUCAACCUUUACCUGCUCCUACUAGUGACCUCGUAGUAGGUGGCCUUGGUCCUACUUGCGUUAUUCAUCAUCCAUACUCGGGUAUGUAACCGCAUUGUGCAUUUGCCUAGCUUUGGCGGCUAGCGCCUUGUUCUUCUGCUCUUUCGUGAUUGCUAAUUUUGGCUUCUGCAUGGCUUCUAGACUGUUCAGCCUUACUUGUUGCUUGGUGGCUUCAUAGUACGCUGCCCAUCUCGACCAGUGUCCUCGUUGUACUCAAGGGCUCCACGCUCGCCAACCUCGAACUGAUGGUAAGUCCC